UGGGGAAUAUUGCACAAUGGGCGGAAGCCUGAUGCAGCGACGCCGCGUGAGGGAUGACGGCCUUCGGGUUGUAAACCUCUUUCAGUAGGGAAGAAGCGUAAGUGACGGUACCUGCAGAAGAAGCACCGGCCAACUACGUGCCAGCAGCCGCGGUAAUACGUAGGGUGCGAGCGUUGUCCGGAAUUAUUGGGCGUAAAGGGCUCGUAGGCGGUUUGUCGCGUCGGGAGUGAAAACCAGGUGCUUAACACCUGGCUUGCUUUCGAUACGGGCAGACUAGAGGUAUGCAGGGGAGAACGGAAUUCCUGGUGUAGCGGUGAAAUGCGCAGAUAUCAGGAGGAACACCGGUGGCGAAGGCGGUUCUCUGGGCAUGACCUGACGCUGAGGAGCGAAAGUGUGGGGAGCGAAC
Molecule: ribosomal RNA, 406 nt
Filed under: uncultured bacterium
Lineage: Bacteria
Description: bacterial SSU rRNA
Rfam family: Bacterial small subunit ribosomal RNA
Source: RNAcentral